Molecule: ribosomal RNA, 468 nt
Filed under: uncultured bacterium
Lineage: Bacteria
Description: partial 16S ribosomal RNA
Rfam family: Bacterial small subunit ribosomal RNA
Source: RNAcentral
GACGAACGCUGGCGGCGUGCUUAACACAUGCAAGUCGAACGGAAAGGCCCUGCUUUUGUGGGGUGCUCGAGUGGCGAACGGGUGAGUAACACGUGAGUAACCUGCCCUUGACUUUGGGAUAACUUCAGGAAACUGGGGCUAAUACCGGAUAGGAGCUCCUGCUGCAUGGUGGGGGUUGGAAAGUUUCGGCGGUUGGGGAUGGACUCGCGGCUUAUCAGCUUGUUGGUGGGGUAGUGGCUUACCAAGGCUUUGACGGGUAGCCGGCCUGAGAGGGUGACCGGCCACAUUGGGACUGAGAUACGGCCCAGACUCCUACGGGAGGCAGCGGUGGGGAAUAUUGCGCAGUGGGCGGGAGCCUGAUACGGCGACGCCGCGUGCGGGAUAACGGCCUUCGGGUUGUAAACCGCUUUCGCCUGUGACGAAGCGUGAGUGACGGUAAUGGGUAAAGAAGCACCGGCUAACUACGUG